Molecule: ribosomal RNA, 465 nt
Filed under: uncultured bacterium
Lineage: Bacteria
Description: partial 16S ribosomal RNA
Rfam family: Bacterial small subunit ribosomal RNA
Source: RNAcentral
CCUACGGGCGGCAGCAGUAGGGAAUCUUCCACAAUGGGCGAAAGCCUGAUGGAGCAACGCCGCGUGGGUGAAGAAGGUCUUCGGAUCGUAAAACACUGUUGUUAGAGAAGAAAGUGCGUGAGAGUAACUGUUCACGUUUCGACGGUAUCUAACCAGAAAGCCACGGCUAACUACGUGCCAGCAGCCGCGGUAAUACGUAGGUGGCAAGCGUUAUCCGGAUUGAUUGGGCGUAAAGGGAACGCAGGCGGUCUUUUAAGUCUGAUGUGAAGGCCUUCGGCUUAACCGGAGUAGUGCAUUGGAAGCUGGGAGCCUUGGGUGCAGAAGCGGAGAGUGGAACUCCAUGUGUAGCGGUGAAAUGCGUAGAUAUAUGGAAGAACCCCAGUGGCGAAAGCGGCUCUCUGGUCUGUAACUGACGCUGAGGUUCGAAAGCGUGGGUAGCAAACAGGAUUAGAUACCCUUGUAGUC